Molecule: transfer RNA, 95 nt
Filed under: Virgisporangium ochraceum
Lineage: Bacteria; Bacillati; Actinomycetota; Actinomycetes; Micromonosporales; Micromonosporaceae
Description: tRNA-Arg
Source: RNAcentral
GGCCGGGGUGGCGGGCCGGAGCCGCGGCCGUUUCCGUGGCUGCCCAGGUCGGUGAGCAGGAACGUCGGGCGGCGGUCGCCCCGGCGCACCGGUCG